Molecule: long non-coding RNA, 1012 nt
Organism: Dendrobium catenatum
Lineage: Eukaryota; Viridiplantae; Streptophyta; Magnoliopsida; Asparagales; Orchidaceae
Exons: 2
Source: RefSeq, a predicted model, not a curated record
AAUGAAGCCUAAGUCAUGCUAUCUUGUUACUUUUCUCACUUUCCUUAUAUCAUUUCCUUGUUUAUUAUGUUUUCUAAAUUUUUCAACAUUGUCCUGAAUAACAUGUACGCUAUGUAAAAUGAUAAUUUAGAGUUUGAUAAUAUUGUAUGUCCUAUGAGGCUUGUUUGCGCACAAGGCUAAGCCUAAAUUUUCUGCCAAACCUGAAACAUCAAUCCAAGAACCAACCAGGUGAUUUAGUCUAUUGCAGUCCAAGGAUUUUUGUUCCAUAAAGCAUAAAAUUAAAGAAUUAAAUCAUGCAAGCUUUCAAUAGAUAAGUUUUCAUCUUUUUUCACAAUAUGGUCUUUUUUUUUCAGAAAAAAAAAAAGUAUUUAGGUCCAUACUUUCAUUCGAAACAUUGCAUGUGAACCACCUAAUAUUAGUGAAAUCUUUCUAUGUAUCCAUUUUUAUUUAUUCUCUUAACCUGUAAUGCUAAACUGUAACAACUAAACCCGGGUCCCCUUUGUAAGGGCUGAGGUUAGAUUUCUUAUCAUAUCCCAUGUUGUGUGUUAACCAUCAUUCAGAGCUGGGGGCUGUGAUACUGGGCAUGGUUGUCAAGCAGAAACAAGAAGCAAAGCAUCAGGUAAAGACCAACACUUUGAAGAUAUUUAAACAGUCAAAGAAAAAUUUAAAAAAAAAAAGCCUGUGAAGUUUUUAACGAAUUGAGUUUCACAGGAGUGUCAACAAAGAGAAGAAAAAAGAAGCAGGUUCGAAGCUUUUAUUUAUUAUUUUCCUGGGAAUGGUUUGUAAGUAUCUAAAUAUAAAAUAUUAGUCAGGUCCAAAUAUCCAACCUUUUCUACCACAGAUUAGCUUAUUCCACUUAAAAGACAAAUAUAUUGCAGUAAGAUAUUCACAACCCUUGCAAAAGGAAGCAAUUCAGUUGCCACUUUUUUUUUUUAAAGAGAACCGCAUAAAUCAACACUAACAAACAUCUUCUCAUAUAAGUUAUUUCCUCAAAGAAAAAAAAAACGAAAAA